This 77-nucleotide transfer RNA is filed under the name subsurface metagenome. RNAcentral's name for it is "tRNA-Met". It matches the Rfam family "tRNA". From Rfam's summary of the family: Transfer RNA (tRNA) molecules are approximately 80 nucleotides in length. Their secondary structure includes four short double-helical elements and three loops (D, anti-codon, and T loops). The record is from RNAcentral.
CGCGGGGUAGAGCAGAAGGUCAGCUCGCCAGCCCCAUUAGCUGGAGGUCAGAGGUUCGAAUCCUCUCCCCGCUACCA